Molecule: transfer RNA, 72 nt
Filed under: Pangasianodon gigas (Mekong giant catfish)
Lineage: Eukaryota; Metazoa; Chordata; Actinopteri; Siluriformes; Pangasiidae
Description: tRNA-Met
Rfam family: tRNA
About the family: Transfer RNA (tRNA) molecules are approximately 80 nucleotides in length. Their secondary structure includes four short double-helical elements and three loops (D, anti-codon, and T loops).
Source: RNAcentral
AGCAGAGUGGUGCAGCGGAAGUGUGCAGGGCCCAUAACCCAGAGGUCAAUGGUUUGAAACCAUCUUCUGCUA